CCUCGGCCUGCCAGACACUUGUGCAGAGAGAUCACGCAUCUCACGGCUUGACGAUCAAGGGGGCAAAGCCUCGGUCUUCAUAGAAAAGGAGAGGAGGCAAACGCAGCCCAAACUGGGGGGUUUCUCUUCAAAGCCAGCUGGUCUGGCUUUAUUCUACAGGAAUUUUUUUACCUGUCAGGGUUUGGACAACAAAGCCCUCAGCAGGUGCUGACGGGUACAACUUCCUGGAGAAGCAGAAAGGCACUGAGAAAACAUCUUGCUCUGUUGCUCAGGCUGGAGCGCAAUGGUGCCAUCGUAGCUUACUGUAACCUUGAACGUCUGUGCUCAAGCAAUCUUCCUGCCUCAGCCUCCUGAGUAGCUGGGACUACAGAGACAGGGUCUUGUUCUAUUGUCCAAGCUGGUCUUGAAUUCCUGACCUCAAGCAAUCCUCCUGCCUCUGCCUCCCAAAGCACUGGGAUUAUUACAGAGGUGCUGGUUACGUGGGAAUUUGAUUUGUCAAAACUGAUUGAAUGACACAGAGAUGUGGUUUCACUGGGUUAGCCAGGAUAGUCUCGAUCUCCUGACCUUGUGGUCCGCCUGCCUCGGCCUUCCAAAGUGCUGGAAUUACAGGUGUGAGCCACCGCGCCCGGCCAAGGGUCGAUGUUGCACAGGUGAAUACAGAGGCUUUCUAAAGAAAUUGAUGAGAGAUGGAGUUUUGCUCUUGUUGCCCAAGCUGGAGUGCAAUGGCGUGAUCUCAGCUUACUGCAACCUCUGCCUCCUGGGUUCAAGCAAUUCUCCUGCCUCAGUUUCCCGAGUAGCUGGGAUUACAGUAGAGACGAGGUUUCACUGUGUUAGCCAGGAUGGUCUUGAUCUCCUGACCUUGUGAUCCACCCGCCUCGGCCUCCCAAAGUGCUGGGAUUACAGGCGUGAGCCACCGCACCCGGCUACAAUGGAUAAAUGAUUUCUUAUUGUACUUUUAAUUUGCAUUUCUUUGAUUACUGUGAGGUUGAACCAUUUAAAAAUAAGCAUUGCCUUUUGUGUGAAUUGUGUUUCUUCUUUUGAGGAACAUUCCUCCUGCAUUCUUUGGCUCCCCUCCCCGCCCCAGACAUACAUUAGACUUUCCAAAGACUUGGAAAUUAACACUUCGUGGGUCAUAUUUACAGCAAUUAUUUACUCUGGUAAUUUCCUUUUCAUUUUAAUUGUACUAUUUUCAGGACUUUUAUGUGUUUUCAAAUGAAGAUCUUCUCAUCUGUGAUUGCUUCAAAGCUUGGAAAAUAAUAAUAACAUCAACGAAGUGAAAAUUACCCAAUUUUAUUUUUUCCUUCUAUUAUAUAUUUGUAUUAAGCUCUUUCAUCAACAUGGAAAAAAAUG
This 1350-nucleotide long non-coding RNA is filed under the name Homo sapiens (human). RNAcentral describes it as "HSALNT0341392". Lineage: Eukaryota; Metazoa; Chordata; Mammalia; Primates; Hominidae. The record is from RNAcentral.